Molecule: non-coding RNA, 146 nt
Filed under: Triticum aestivum (bread wheat)
Lineage: Eukaryota; Viridiplantae; Streptophyta; Magnoliopsida; Poales; Poaceae
Source: RNAcentral
GCCGAGCUCAGUUGCGAGAGCUUGUAACCUGAGUGGGGGCAUUAAAGUGAUGUGGCCUAUGCGAAAGCUGGGCCUCACGGUCCAUAAGGUGGCAGGCACCGCGUGAGGCUGGGUCUCGCAGCCUACUCCAGUGAACCAUCAUUUUU